This 335-nucleotide ribosomal RNA is filed under the name uncultured Pseudomonadota bacterium. RNAcentral describes it as "bacterial SSU rRNA". It matches the Rfam family "Bacterial small subunit ribosomal RNA", at positions 29 to 351 of the family's 1533-position model. Lineage: Bacteria; Pseudomonadati; Pseudomonadota. The record is from RNAcentral.
AGCGAACGCUGGCGGCGUGCCUAACACAUGCAAGUCGAACGUGAACGGGGGCAACCCCUAGUAAAGUGGCGUACGGGUGAGUAACACGUAGAUCAUCUACCCAAGAGUCUGGAAUAACCUGCCGAAAGGCGGGCUAAUACUGGAUAGAGCGAUGGAACUCGUAAAGGGUUUUUCGGGAAAGGGAGCUCGCAAGAGCCCUCGCUUUUGGAUGAGUCUGCGUCCCAUUAGCUAGUUGGUGGGGUAAUGGCCUACCAAGGCAGUGAUGGGUAGCUGGUCUGAGAGGAUGAUCAGCCACACUGGAACUGAAACACGGUCCAGACUCCUACGGGAGGCAG